AAACGGCAUCUCUCUACAGCGCAUCUCUCAAUGGAUUCCAAUUACCACAAGCCCCUCAGAAUCUACCUAGUCUCAUCAACCGACUUACCCGAGUUCACUCACUUAACUCGGGCGCUAACUCGGUCCAAUCUCAUAGCACUCGACGCUGAGUGGAAACCCAUUCGUUCCCACCAACCCAAUUUCCCCACCGUCUCACUCCUCCAACUCGCUUGUCAACUCGAUCCCCGACUCAGUUCCGACUCGGACGAGUUGAACGAGACAGUAGUUUUCUUACUCGACCUGUCCUCAAUUCCUCUAUCUUCAAUAUUGGAACUGUUAAAAGAGGUGUUUGUUUCGCCAGAUGUGUUGAAAUUAGGGUUUAAAUUUAAGCAAGAUUUGAUUUACUUGUCGUCUACUUUCUGUUCUCAAGGAUGUGAACCACGGUUUGAUAGGGUAGAGCCCUAUUUGGACAUCGCAAGCAUAUAUAACUAUCUGCAACAUAAGCAACAUGGGAGGAAGUUACCAAGGGAAACCAAGAGUCUGGCAACUAUUUGCAAAGAAGUAUUAGGCAUUUCUCUUUCGAAGGAACUUCAAUGUAGUGAUUGGUCACGUCGACCACUUACAGAAGAGCAGAAAACCUAUGCUGCUACAGAUGCUCACUGCUUGCUUGAAAUAUUUAAUAGCUUUCGGGAUAAGGUUUCUCAGGAAGGUUUUAUUACGGGGAAUUCUUCUGGCAACAUUGUGGAACUACAUUCUUUUGAUGUGGAUCUCGGGUUGAAAGAAAUACUUGAGAAGCCUGAAGUUGGGAAUAAAAUCAUUAGAACAAGAGUUUGUGAUGCUCUGGACAUAGUUCGAGCUGCUGCUUCUUCUCAAUAUUCUCAGCAUGUAGCUGAGGGUGUAGUUUCCAGAAUAUCAUGCAGAACUACCAUGCCUAUGGAUGAAUUCUUCUUGAAGAUAGUAAGGAAGCAUGGUGAAAAACUUGUGUUGAGAGAAUCAGACAGAGCACCAAAAACAUCCAAAAAGAAAGGCAAAAGACGGUCCUCUGCGGUUGUGAUAUUGAAAGAAAAACAGGUGGACAAUUUUGGUGAUUGGCAAGGUCCACCACCAUGGGAUUCGUCUUUGGGAGGUGAUGGGUGCCCUAAAUUUCUAUGUGAUGUGAUGGUUGAAGGCUUGGCUAAACACUUACGUUGUGUGGGGAUAGAUGCUGCAAUACCAAAUUCAAAAAAGCCAGAAUCUAGGGAAUUGAUAGAUCAAGCAUCCAAAGAAAAGAGAGUACUUUUGACGCGAGAUGCCAAGCUAUUGAGGCAUCAGUAUCUGAUAAAGAAUCAGAUAUAUAGGGUGAAGAGCCUUUUGAAAAAUGAACAGCUACUUGAGGUUAUUGAAACAUUCCAAUUGAAAAUUAGCGAGGAUCAGCUGAUGUCAAGGUGUACUAAAUGUAAUGGAAGGUUUAUUCAAAAACCGUUAUCAAUGGAAGAGGCUGUUGAGGCUGCAAAGGGUUUUCAGAGAAUACCUGACUGCUUGUUUGACAAGAAUUUAGAGUUCUGGCAAUGCAUAGAUUGCCACCAACUUUACUGGGAGGUAGCUUCUAACCUGUUGUCAUAUGGGGCUGUUUUAUUUCUCUUUGCAAAUGGUUGUCUCUCCUUUAUGUCAAACACCAGAUAUCAGCUUAGAAGAAACUGAUUUGAUUGUUAAAUUUUAUGUAAAGUUUUCUCUUAUUGGCAUGCUUUCAGAUAUGGCUAGGUGGCAACGUGCUGAUAAGUUUGCUAUGUGGGAAAGAAAUAAUGCAAUGCCAUAUCUAUUGAGUGUUAUAUUAUAUAAUAUUAAAAAAUCUGAUGACCUCUCUGAUGAGUCACUGAGGUCUAAACUGGGACUGGGGAGGAACUUACAACCUUGGCAUUUAGGAACUUGUGAGAUAUAAAUAUCCGAAGUAGGUGGUUUUAGUAGGAGACAACCCUCUAUUGUGCUAUUAUUUUUCUAAACAUUACAGCAGUGUGUUAUUUUGAGCAAAUGAGAAAUUCCCUCGUCUCAUCAUCUAGUAGGUUUAGUGGCCAUAUCCCAGGAUUGCUAAAGCAUACAACUUCAGCACUUUCACUAAGGAUCACUUUCAAUUCUCAAUUUUACUUUUUUCAGGGCAAAAACCAUUUGAAUAUAUUAUUGGAUACUGGAUAGUUGAGUUCUUCAGCUGAUGUCUAUGUUAUACCAAAUUUGUACUGUUUACAUGAAUUGAAGUACAUUAUCUUAUUUGGCGAUUAUAUCUGAAAUCACUUCAAACUGGUUAGAGCUUAUAUUGUUUAACGUCUGCAACAGUAGAAAGUCUUUUUGUAGCCAAUAUCUUUAUCAGCCUGCAUGUAAUGUGUUAUUAUUACAGGGAACUCAGUACCACAAUGCAGUUCAGAAGUUCAUCGACGUCUGCAAGUUGAGUGAAUGAGUUGAAGAUGGCUUGCACUCAUCUUUCAAGAGGUCCCCUGACCGCAGCUCGAGCCGGGGUAUGUACUAAGUACUCAGUACGCAGUUUUCUUGGUUAUUUGUUUCAUGAGUAAAUUUGAGGUUCAAAAGACAAGGCUUAGUGUAAUUUGAGGGCAAAACGAUUUAACCAUUUAAGUUAUUUUGAAAUGUUCAGCCCCUGGUAGUUGCAGUUGUACACAUGAAAAUUGAAAUAUCAGUGGAAAGAAAGUUUUUACAAUUUUAAA
This is an RNA transcript of Pistacia vera, 2669 nucleotides long. RefSeq lists it as uncharacterized. Lineage: Eukaryota; Viridiplantae; Streptophyta; Magnoliopsida; Sapindales; Anacardiaceae. The transcript has 8 exons. The record is from RefSeq and is a predicted model, not a curated record.